Molecule: ribosomal RNA, 3017 nt
Filed under: Klebsiella oxytoca
Lineage: Bacteria; Pseudomonadati; Pseudomonadota; Gammaproteobacteria; Enterobacterales; Enterobacteriaceae
Description: bacterial LSU rRNA
Rfam family: Bacterial large subunit ribosomal RNA
Source: RNAcentral
UUAAGCGACUAAGCGUACACGGUGGAUGCCCUGGCAGUCAGAGGCGAUGAAGGACGUGCUAAUCUGCGAAAAGCGUCGGUAAGGUGAUAUGAACCGUUAUAGCCGGCGAUGUCCGAAUGGGGAAACCCAGUGCAAUUCGUUGCACUAUCGUUUGAUGAAUACAUAGUCAAACGAGGCGAACCGGGGGAACUGAAACAUCUAAGUACCCCGAGGAAAAGAAAUCAACCGAGAUUCCCCCAGUAGCGGCGAGCGAACGGGGAGCAGCCCGGAGUCUGAAUCAGCUUGUGUGUUAGUGGAAGCGUCUGGAAAGUCGCAGGGUACAGGGUGAUACUCCCGUACACUAAAACACACAGGCUGUGAACUCGAAGAGUAGGGCGGGACACGUGGUAUCCUGUCUGAAUAUGGGGGGACCAUCCUCCAAGGCUAAAUACUCCUGACUGACCGAUAGUGAACCAGUACCGUGAGGGAAAGGCGAAAAGAACCCCGGCGAGGGGAGUGAAAAAGAACCUGAAACCGUGUACGUACAAGCAGUAGGAGCCCCACCACCAAAGCGUUUCGCUUUGCGUGGUGCGCAAAAUGCGUAACGACAGCAUGAUGGACGGUUAACGGAGCGUCAGCGACGUUCAACCUCAAAAAUCAGGCAGUGGAGCGUUUUGGGGUGGGGUGACUGCGUACCUUUUGUAUAAUGGGUCAGCGACUUAUAUUCUGUAGCAAGGUUAACCGUAUAGGGGAGCCGCAGGGAAACCGAGUCUUAACUGGGCGUUAAGUUGCAGGGUAUAGACCCGAAACCCGGUGAUCUAGCCAUGGGCAGGUUGAAGGUUGGGUAACACUAACUGGAGGACCGAACCGACUAAUGUUGAAAAAUUAGCGGAUGACUUGUGGCUGGGGGUGAAAGGCCAAUCAAACCGGGAGAUAGCUGGUUCUCCCCGAAAGCUAUUUAGGUAGCGCCUCGUGAACUCAUCUUCGGGGUAGAGCACUGUUUCGGCUAGGGGGUCAUCCCGACUUACCAACCCGAUGCAAACUACGAAUACCGAAGAAUGUUAUCACGGGAGACACACGGCGGGUGCUAACGUCCGUCGUGAAGAGGGAAACAACCCAGACCGCCAGCUAAGGUCCCAAAGUCAUGGUUAAGUGGGAAACGAUGUGGGAAGGCCCAGACAGCCAGGAUGUUGGCUUAGAAGCAGCCAUCAUUUAAAGAAAGCGUAAUAGCUCACUGGUCGAGUCGGCCUGCGCGGAAGAUGUAACGGGGCUAAACCAUGCACCGAAGCUGCGGCAGCGACACUAUGUGUUGUUGGGUAGGGGAGCGUUCUGUAAGCCGUUGAAGGUGGCCUGUGAGGGUUGCUGGAGGUAUCAGAAGUGCGAAUGCUGACAUAAGUAACGAUAAUGCGGGUGAAAAACCCGCACGCCGGAAGACCAAGGGUUCCUGUCCAACGUUAAUCGGGGCAGGGUGAGUCGACCCCUAAGGCGAGGCCGAAAGGCGUAGUCGAUGGGAAACAGGUUAAUAUUCCUGUACUUGGUGUUGCUGCGAAGGGGGGACGGAGAAGGCUAUGUUGGCCGGGCGACGGUUGUCCCGGUUUAAGCAUGUAGGCGGAUGUUCCAGGUAAAUCCGGAACGUUACUAACGCUGAGGUGUGAUGACGAGGCACUACGGUGCUGAAGUGACAAAUGCCCUGCUUCCAGGAAAAGCCUCUAAGCAUCAGGUAACAUCAAAUCGUACCCCAAACCGACACAGGUGGUCAGGUAGAGAAUACCAAGGCGCUUGAGAGAACUCGGGUGAAGGAACUAGGCAAAAUGGUGCCGUAACUUCGGGAGAAGGCACGCUGAUGGUAGGUGAAGCGACUUGCUCGUGGAGCUGAAAUCAGUCGAAGAUACCAGCUGGCUGCAACUGUUUAUUAAAAACACAGCACUGUGCAAACACGAAAGUGGACGUAUACGGUGUGACGCCUGCCCGGUGCCGGAAGGUUAAUUGAUGGGGUUAUCCUCGCGGAGAAGCUCUUGAUCGAAGCCCCGGUAAACGGCGGCCGUAACUAUAACGGUCCUAAGGUAGCGAAAUUCCUUGUCGGGUAAGUUCCGACCUGCACGAAUGGCGUAAUGAUGGCCAGGCUGUCUCCACCCGAGACUCAGUGAAAUUGAACUCGCUGUGAAGAUGCAGUGUACCCGCGGCAAGACGGAAAGACCCCGUGAACCUUUACUAUAGCUUGACACUGAACACUGGUCCUUGAUGUGUAGGAUAGGUGGGAGGCUUUGAAGUGUGGACGCCAGUCUGCAUGGAGCCGUCCUUGAAAUACCACCCUUUAAUGGCUGGUGUUCUAACGUGGGCCCGUGAUCCGGGUUGCGGACAGUGUCUGGUGGGUAGUUUGACUGGGGCGGUCUCCUCCUAAAGAGUAACGGAGGAGCACGAAGGUCAGCUAAUCCUGGUCGGACAUCAGGAGGUUAGUGCAAUGGCAUAAGCUGGCUUGACUGCGAGCGUGACGGCGCGAGCAGGUGCGAAAGCAGGUCAUAGUGAUCCGGUGGUUCUGAAUGGAAGGGCCAUCGCUCAACGGAUAAAAGGUACUCCGGGGAUAACAGGCUGAUACCGCCCAAGAGUUCAUAUCGACGGCGGUGUUUGGCACCUCGAUGUCGGCUCAUCACAUCCUGGGGCUGAAGUAGGUCCCAAGGGUAUGGCUGUUCGCCAUUUAAAGUGGUACGCGAGCUGGGUUUAGAACGUCGUGAGACAGUUCGGUCCCUAUCUGCCGUGGGCGCUGGAGAAUUGAGGGGGGCUGCUCCUAGUACGAGAGGACCGGAGUGGACGCAUCACUGGUGUUCGGGUUGUCAUGCCAAUGGCAUUGCCCGGUAGCUAAAUGCGGAAGAGAUAAGUGCUGAAAGCAUCUAAGCACGAAACUUGCCCCGAGAUGAGUUCUCCCUGACUCCUUGAGAGUCCUGAAGGAACGUUGAAGACGACGACGUUGAUAGGCCGGGUGUGUAAGCGCAGCGAUGCGUUGAGCUAACCGGUACUAAUGAACCGUGAGGCUUAACCUU